UUCUCAUGUUCCUUCUCCUACAGAAAACCAAAUUCCAAUGCAAGGGAGAUCUUGUCCUCCUAGAGAAACCUGUCCUUGUCAAACUGACCCACAGGUGCAAAAUUCAACUAGAGGCCUGUUUCCUCUAAGAGAAGUACCUGAAAUAGGACGAAAUGGGGAUGUGGUGACUUUAAGACAUAGGAUACCGUUUACUCCCCAAGAAAUAAAUGAAUUUACACGAAAUAUCCCCACAUAUGAACAAGAUCCUUUUCUAGUAACAAAAAAGAUGGGAGACAUAUUUUUUCAAUAUAAUCCGUCUUACAAGGACGUUGAGAGCUUACUACAGGCUUUUUUAAGUGAACGUGAAAAAAAUAAAAUAAUUGCUCAUGUCAACAAAACCCGGGGGCGUAAUGCAGCACAUUGGCCAUCUCAGGAUCCCGAAUGGGACUAUAAUAAUCCUGAGGACUAUCUACAACUAUACCGUUGUAGAGAGGCCAUCCUCACGGCCAUGAAGGAAUGUGCGGACAGUACAGAUAAGUGGAUGGAACUGGAAAAAAUUAAGCAAAAGGAAAACGAAACACCCUCCAGAUUUAUGGACAGAAUUAUCGAGUUUGGGGACAGAUACUUAGAUUGGGACUUAAAUAAAGAGAAUAGUUUUAGACAAGUUAGAAGAAUCUUUGUAAAUAAUUCAUGCAAAGUAAUUAAAAAUUAUUUUAAAACACAAUGCCCAAGAUGGUCAGAUAUGGACCUUGAAGAAUUGCGAAAAACAGCUAUAUAUGUUUUUAAGGGAAACAAAGAAAAGGAGAAAGAGAAUAAUGAUGACAUGGAGGAAAUGAAGAAAAAAAUGAGAUGUGUAAUAGAUAGGAUAACUAAAUUAGAAAGUGGGCAUGAUAAUGAACCAACGACAAUUGCCCCUCUCCAGAAAUCCAAUUAUCAAUCCAUUACUUGCCACUUCUGUGAGAAGAAGGGCCACAAAAUGAUGGAAUGUAGAACCUUUCUUAAGAUGUUUGGAAGGAAUACACAGUUUAAUAAUAGUUUUAGAAAUAAUAACUAUAGAAAUUAUGAUAAUGGUUAUAGAAACCAAAAUUCUAGAAAUUAUAAUAAUGACUAUGGAAAUAACUAUAAUGAAUAUAGAAAUAAGAGCUUUAAAAACCAGAAUUAUAGAAAUAGGAAUUGGGAAUUUAAUGACAAUGCUCAAAUUGAAGAAAAUUUUAAUGAUUAUACUCAACAAUAUAUGAGAAAUGGCGCUCGUCCAAAAAUUACUCGAGGUACUAAUGACCCUCAGAGAGGUGCCCUUCAGGGGGGUGCCCAAGGAAUAUCCCAAACACAAUGAUGGUGCCCGGCGGGGGCUGGGGCACAGGAAUCAGAGGAUACAACCUUUGAUUUCCCAGACCCUGAUGUCCUACUACCCGUUGUCCCUAUCCACUGCCCCUCCCAUACAUAUGAA
This 1426-nucleotide long non-coding RNA is filed under the name Monodelphis domestica (gray short-tailed opossum). RNAcentral's name for it is "lncRNA (ENSMODG00000048953.1)". The record is from RNAcentral. Lineage: Eukaryota; Metazoa; Chordata; Mammalia; Didelphimorphia; Didelphidae.